Molecule: long non-coding RNA, 1217 nt
Filed under: Helianthus annuus (common sunflower)
Lineage: Eukaryota; Viridiplantae; Streptophyta; Magnoliopsida; Asterales; Asteraceae
Source: RNAcentral
CCGAACAUUUUGGGAUACGAUUCUAGGAUCGCCGUUCCUUAUAAACCUUUCAUAGUCACUUCUAAAUUUGAUCUUCAUACCGAUCAUAACUCGGUCGUUGCACCACCGUCGCAAUCCUCCGUAAACCUUUGUCCGCCAAGAGUCAGUCGCCACCACAACACGCGACACUUUACCAGCUAUCGUUACCUCCGCACAACCGCCGCCGCAUACAUCCCUCGCGAACUAGACGUUGCGGAUUUGAAACCGCCAUACCUGUCGCACUCCAUCGUCCGUCUAGCUCCGUCCGCGCUACUCCGUCGUGACCGUCGCCACAUCGUUCAGGCCGCAUCAAUUGUUGUUGCUUGAUUCGGUUCGUUUGAUCAUCUGGAGCUCUAGUCUUUUGUCUCCGAUUAGCUCCGUUUGGUGACUAAGUCAUAUUAGGUGAUAUAGUAAAUGGUGGUGUACAAAAUUUUUUGCAGAAGUAGGUGGUCUACAAAAAUAAAGAGUGCAAUUAGGUGCAUUUGAAAAAUGUUUUCAGAUAUAGGUAAGUUGUGGAAUGAAUUCGCGACCUUCUCUCCAUUUUCUGCCAAAGAACAUGAUUUCCUGCAAAAGCUGACAUUCUCUGAAAAGGUUUGAUUCUGAAACAGCGACCUUGUGAAGGUCGCGAAUUGAUGUCACAAUCUUGUACAAGGUCGCGAAUUCAUAUACCAAGCUUAUUAAAGGUCGCUAUUUCAUGUCCCAACCUUGCUGAAGGUCUCUAUUUCAACUCCCAACCUUGUUGAAGGUCGCAGAUUGAAGUUCCAAGCAUGUAUAAGGUCGCGGAUCCAUGUACAAACCUUGUUAAAGGUCUCUGUUUUGUGUCACAAGCUUAUUAAAGGUUGUCAAAGUUUAUGAUGCUCGCAGAAUGAUAUUAAAUGUGUUCUGAAAAUCGGAAUUUAUAACCCAACCACACAUAACAGAUGCACACCAAAUUCAUACUGUGUUUGUUUAAAAAAUUUACUUUUGAAAUUUAAAUUGUGUCUGUAUGAUGUUCUUUAUUAAAAAAUGUCUUCUGAUUGGAAAAUUCGGUCAAUGUAUGAUGAUUCUCUUGGAUCAUUCGUCAUGAUGUUUUUCUCAGUUUUAAUUUUCGUAUACCUGGUGGGAAGAUGUUGUGUGCAUGAGAAAGAUUAUUCUCAUCUACCAUCUCCUCCCGUAACGUGUACGAGGAUAAUAAAAUAUGCUGCUGUGGUUGCGUCAAG